RNAcentral lists this long non-coding RNA (1527 nucleotides) under Dendronephthya gigantea. RNAcentral's name for it is "uncharacterized LOC114515690, transcript variant X2". Lineage: Eukaryota; Metazoa; Cnidaria; Anthozoa; Malacalcyonacea; Nephtheidae. The record is from RNAcentral.
UUGGGGCUCAUCGUUCAUCUCUGCAGCUUUACACCUAUGCACUUCAUCAAAAUUAAUAACAAUCAUCUAAAUUAUCCCGAUGGUUAGCUAGAUCUUCGAUCGCAGUAUUUUAUUUUAUAAUUUGUAAAGUGCAUUCUAUUUCAUUCUUAUACUAAGUUAUUUAACAUAUAGUCACUAGUCAGUAAGACGAAAAGCGCGGUUUUGUCAUUUCCUGAAAACGGCUCGACCAUUUCUCACACACAUUAGCCGAUCCAACAUUAUAAGCAAAAAAUUAAGGCAUCACACUUUAAUAUGAGAAUGUUAUGAAUGUAAUAUAUGCAUAUGACGUAUGUUAUUAUCUGCAUUAUAUUUUUGGCCUAUAACGCUGGAUCGGGUAAUGUAUAUAACUAUAGAAUAGUAUACAUGGAUAUAUCAUAUUUAUAUUUAAAUCCACCUUUCCAGUGCUUCGUAAAUUGUUUUGUAUUUAACUUUGUCCUUUGUCAGUAUCUGCAAUAGAGACCGUUUGUAAUCGUAAUGUUUCAACUGAAUUUUUCCCGGUAAAACUGUUAACAAAUUAUUAAUAGAGAAAUUGUUCACGAACUUUGAUUUGAAUGCGUAAAUGCCAUGUCAACGUCUUUUCCACACAAAUAAAUUAUUCUGACAUAUCUAGCCUUGUCAUGCAUGGUUUUAUAUUGAGAGGAGUAAACGUUGUCCGCUCAUUUUAUCGCUUGGAGCCUUUGACUGAAGACUGAACAUUUGAAAUAUUGCUCGAUUGUAAAUAUUUAUCGCCAUGAAUUCUAAAUUCAUUAUCUGCUUGUUUCUUGUGAUGUUCACCGUCUCGAAUUCAAACUUGGUGAAACGACGGGUGAACUCGGAAAAUUUUUCUGAAUGCGAAAUAAACGGCAUGUUUUGUUGCAUUAUUGGAUUUUUUCCUCCGAGACAUUGUGAUUACAACGGCGAAUAUCCGAAAUAUGAGUGCCCUCCCCAUAAAACUUGUUGCAAGGAUGCGAACAGUUGUUUCUAAUGCUGCCAUAAUAAGAUACCGAAAAGGCUUAAAGUUAUGACGUGGAAAGUAUAGUUAUAGAAAGGUGGACAAAUACAUAUGAUAUUACAUGAUUUGAAUUUGUUGAAACGGGAUUAGAACUUCAAUAAAGAUUAGAACAGCUUUACUGGUGUAGUCUUAUCAUGCAUUGUUCUUUCCAAACCGGCUCCAUGUAUUUUUUGUAAAGGGAAAUUAUCACCCCAUGCUUCCAGAAAUAAAAAAUAUGUCUAACCGCAUAAAAGGUGAAUAUUUUCUUAGGGGUAAGCAUAAAAAAAAAUUCUGUAACAUAAAUAAUUUCCCUAACAUGCACAUUCGCGCCAAUAUUCCUGUGCACUGAAUCUAUAUAAAUCGCGAUUCUGUUUCGCUUAACAUAUUCGCCUGUACAUAGUUCGUCUGGAUAGUUUGUCUUGUGCACAGACGAAUAAUCUGCGAGACGGAUCAUUCGUCCGGGAAAAAAUACGAUCCCUUACAUUACUCCGCUCCACAACUACAUUUAGUCCACUUCA